ACCAACAGCUAUAUCACCCUGGAGCUCAGCAGUGUGAGCCUGGCCAGUACCUGGAUGGGAGACCUCCUGGGAAAAACUAAGGUUGCUGCUGGAA
This 94-nucleotide ribosomal RNA is filed under the name Lepisosteus oculatus (spotted gar). The record is from RNAcentral. Lineage: Eukaryota; Metazoa; Chordata; Actinopteri; Semionotiformes; Lepisosteidae.